GACGAACCGUGCGAACGUUGUUCGGAAUUACUGGGCUUAAAGGGCGCGUAGGUGGUUUGCCAAGUCGGGGUUGAAAUCUUUCGGCUUAACCGGAAAAGUGGCUUCGAUACUGGCAAGCUGGAGGGAGGUAGGGGCGGAUGGAACUUCCGGUGGAGCGGUGAAAUGUGUUGAUAUCGGAAGGAACGCCGGUGGCGAAAGCGAUCCGCUGGACCUCUUCUGACACUGAGGCGCGAAAGCCAGGGGAGCAAACGGG
This 253-nucleotide ribosomal RNA is filed under the name uncultured bacterium. RNAcentral describes it as "partial 16S ribosomal RNA". It matches the Rfam family "Bacterial small subunit ribosomal RNA", at positions 524 to 776 of the family's 1533-position model. The record is from RNAcentral.